CAGUGGGGAAUAUUGGACAAUGGGCGAAAGCCUGAUCCAGCCAUGCCGCGUGAGUGAUGAAGGCCCUAGGGUUGUAAAGCUCUUUCAACGGUGAAGAUAAUGACGGUAACCGUAGAAGAAGCCCCGGCUAACUUCGUGCCAGCAGCCGCGGUAAUACGAAGGGGGCUAGCGUUGUUCGGAAUUACUGGGCGUAAAGCGCACGUAGGCGGAUUGUUAAGUUAGGGGUGAAAUCCCAGGGCUCAACCCUGGAACUGCCUUUAAUACUGGCAAUCUCGAGUCCGAGAGAGGUGAGUGGAAUUCCGAGUGUAGAGGUGAAAUUCGUAGAUAUUCGGAGGAACACCAGUGGCGAAGGCGGCUCACUGGCUCGGUACUGACGCUGAGGUGCGAAAGCGUGGGGAGCAAACAGGAUUAGA
This 413-nucleotide ribosomal RNA is filed under the name uncultured bacterium. RNAcentral describes it as "bacterial SSU rRNA". It matches the Rfam family "Bacterial small subunit ribosomal RNA", at positions 352 to 782 of the family's 1533-position model. The record is from RNAcentral.